CUGGAGGGUCCUCGGGGUGCAGCUUCCACCAUGUCCCCUAGGAAAGAGCUUCUUCCUUCAGUCCCAUCUCAAUGGAGGGGUCCAAGUGCACAGGCCCGUGCCGAGAAAGCACAAUCAGUGACUGACGAAAGUCUACCGAAGCCACGCCAGCACAUUAAGUCCAUUCCACAACGCAGAGCUGUGUCUGUCCACGAGGAUGCUCUGUCCAUUACACAAGAGCUGAAAGCAGUGUUACAGAGGUCACCCAUCCGUUUCCGGGGCAACAAAUGGGACCUGCCCUCCUGCACUGAAGAUCCAUCUAGUGGGGAGGAAGCACAGAGUGCACACACCAGUGACAAAGGAAAACAGACAGAUGAUGAAAAGAAGCACACUGUCCAGAAGGAGGAGCUCGAGGCAGAGAGAGGAAGAACUUGCUGUGGAGGUACAUCUGAAACCAAGCGCCAUCUUCCAGGAAAAGAAGAAGGUCCAGCCUCAGGUUGUCCCUCCUCUACAGCUCAAGCUCAACAAGAAGGUCAGCAAGAAGCAGCAGCACUGCAACCCUGCAGUCAAGCUGCAGCAUUAGAUAAAGCUCUGUGUGACCAUGAGAGUCCUUCAGCACGAACCCAUACCCUGGAAAAGUCCCCUACAAUCCCCACAUCCCAGAAAAAGAGCCCAAGCAUAGUCACAGCAUUGCCCCAAGCUCUAGAAAAAUGCCCGAUUCCCCUACGCCCCCAAGAAAAGUCCCCCAGCACAAUCCCAGUUGUGUCUGUAUCCUCAGAUAUCUCCCAAGUGAGUCCUCUGUCCCACCAGAGAAGUUCUGGCACACUGCAACCUAAUAUGGAUAUGAGAACCAGCACACAGGAGAGAGGAGAAGGCGUCUCUAAAGAUUACACGAUGAGGAAAGAGCCACCAGACCAAAGAACUGAGCCCCCGCUGUCUGAAUAACACACAGAGACCAACUUACAGAAGGAGAAAAGACGCACCUGGCAGAGACAGGAGGCAGAGAUCUGUGACACCACUGAACUGGGAUAGUAUGAGGUCAAAGAGUAGCAUGAAUGUUCUACUUUCAUGUGGAUAACUGCUCUCAUGUCAGGGUGUUCUCUUCGUCUGAGAACUAAAUACACAGCACACAUAAUUGGUAUGUUUUUUUUAUUUAUCUUUAUUGUAUGUUAGCUUGUGUAUAGUUUUGAGUAAUACUUUUUUUUUUUAUUAUUUCUGGGUUGAUAAGGAGGGACCAUUCUGAUUCAGACUGUGUGAGGCUUGCAAUAUUUGUUUGAAUUUGACAGCUGUUUUGUGCUUAUUUUCCCUGAAAAGCAAAUAACCCUAAUGUCAAAAAUUGUCAUU
Long non-coding RNA from Amphiprion ocellaris (clown anemonefish), 1323 nucleotides. The record is from Ensembl. Lineage: Eukaryota; Metazoa; Chordata; Actinopteri; Pomacentridae.